CAAUCAGCGAUGAUCCCGUUCACCAAUCAGCGUUACGUUUCACUGUAUAAAAGAACGCGUCACAUUCUCAUCUUCCUCCUUCAACCCGCGCUCUGAGAGAAUGGAGGUGUUUGUCCACAUGUGUUACGUAUCACCACGUGGUUCCACCGCGGUCAUCACUGCAAAGGUCAGUUGAUGCAGAAUGAGUUGAAUAUGAUCGAGAUGUUCUGCUGCCAAGAUGCUCCUUGAGAUGGUCUCAGUGAGCCUUCUCUAAGAGAUGGUGUGGCUCUACCAGUGUGAAGGCGCCUGUUGUGUGGGUCCCUGCACUGGUGCUGAGGAUCUGUGGGACUGGUGGAGCAGAUGCAGGCUUGAAGCAGCUCCUGACCAGCAUGUGGAAUUUGGAGAUGGUGCAAGUCCCAUUUAAUAUUAAGGUGUGGCUUGAUGUUUGACACGUUCACUGUUUGUUGUAUGAACUCAAAACAAAUAAAGAUGCUUGUUUUCUUCA
Labeo rohita (rohu) is the source of this 484-nucleotide long non-coding RNA. RefSeq lists it as uncharacterized. Lineage: Eukaryota; Metazoa; Chordata; Actinopteri; Cypriniformes; Cyprinidae. The transcript has 6 exons. The record is from RefSeq and is a predicted model, not a curated record.